Molecule: ribosomal RNA, 1488 nt
Filed under: Plasmodium falciparum 397.1
Lineage: Eukaryota; Apicomplexa; Aconoidasida; Haemosporida; Plasmodiidae
Description: SSU rRNA
Rfam family: Eukaryotic small subunit ribosomal RNA
Source: RNAcentral
CCUGGUUGAUCUUGCCAGUAGUCAUAUGCUUGUCUCACAGAUUAAGCCAUGCAAGUGAAAGUACAUAUGUAAAUAAUAUAUUGAAACUGCGAACGGCUCAUUAAAACAGUUAUAAUCUACUUGAUGUUUUUAAUAUAAGGAUAACUACGGAAAAUCUGUAGCUAAUACUUGUGAAAAUACCUUUUGAUAUAUACAUAUGUAUGUAUCAUUAAGGUAUGUAUUUGUUAGAUAUAAGAAUAAAAUAAAUAUAAUUGAAUUAUAACAAAGAAGAAACACAUAAAAUAUGUGUAUUAUCAAUCGAGUAUCUGACCUAUCAGCUUUUGAUGUUAGGGUAUUGACCUAACAUGGCUAUGACGGGUAACGGGGAAUUAGAGUUCGAUUCCGGAGAGGGAGCCUGAGAAAUAGCUACCACAUCUAAGGAAGGCAGCAGGCGCGUAAAUUACCCAAUUCUAAAAAAGAGAGGUAGUGACAAGAAAUAACAAUACAAUAUCGAAAAAUGAUUUUGUAAUUGGAAUGAUAGGAAUUUACAAGGUUCCUAGAGAAACAAUUGGAGGGCAAGUCUGGUGCCAGCAGCCGCGGUAAUUCCAGCUCCAAUAGCAUAUAUUAAAAUUGUUGCAGUUAAAACGUUCGUAGUUGAAUAUUAAAGAAUCCGAUGUUUCAUUUAAACUGGUUUGGGAAAACCAAAUAUAUUAUAUAUUUUGCUUUGUUCAAAAUAAGGUUUUCUAAUAAAUUAUGUUUUUAUCAGAUAUGACAGAAUCUUUUUUAAAAUCUCUUCAAUAUGCUUUUAUUGCUUUUGAGAGGUUUUGUUACUUUGAGUAAAAUUAAGUGUUCAUAACAGACGGGUAGUCAUGAUUGAGUUCAUUGUGUUUGAAUACUACAGCAUGGAAUAACAAAUAUGAAUAAGCUAAUUAUUUUUUUUUUUCAUAAUUUUUUUUGAUAUUCUUAUUAGCUUAGUUACGAUUAAUAGGAGUAGCUUUGGGGGCAUUCGUAUUCAGAUGUCAGAGGUGAAAUUCUAAGAUUUUCUGGAGACGGACUACUGCGAAAGCAUUUGCCUAAUCUAUUUCCAUUAAUCAAGAACGAAAGUUAAGGGAGUGAAGACGAUCAGAUACCGUCGUAAUCUUAACCAUAAACUAUACCGACUAGGUGUUGGAUGAAUAUAAAAAAUAUAUAAAUAUGUAGCAUUUCUUAGGGAAUGUUGAUUUUAUAUUAGAAUUGCUUCCUUCAGUACCUUAUGAGAAAUCAAAGUCUUUGGGUUCUGGGGCGAGUAUUCGCGCAAGCGAGAAAGUUAAAAGAAUUGACGGAAGGGCACCACCAGGCGUGGAGCUUGCGGCUUAAUUUGACUCAACACGGGAAAACUCACUAGUUUAAGACAAGAGUAGGAUUGACAGAUUAAUAGCUCUUUCUUGAUUUCUUGGAUGGUGAUGCAUGGCCGUUUUUAGUUCGUGAAUAUGAUUUGUCUGGUUAAUUCCGAUAACGAACGAGAUCUUA